UACAGAGGCCCCAAGCGUUAGGCGGAAUCACUGGGCUUAAAGCGUGUGUAGGCGGGUCGUUAAGUACCUUGUGAAAUCCCACGGCUUAACCGUGGAACCGCUUGGUAUACUGGCGGUCUUGAGCCACUUAGGGGCUACCGGAACAAAUGGUGGAGCGGUGAAAUGCGUAGAUAUCAUUUGGAACGCCAAUGGUGAAAACAGGUAGCUGGGAGUGUGCUGACGCUGAGACACGAAAGCCAGGGGAGCAAACGGG
Molecule: ribosomal RNA, 253 nt
Filed under: uncultured bacterium
Lineage: Bacteria
Description: partial 16S ribosomal RNA
Rfam family: Bacterial small subunit ribosomal RNA
Source: RNAcentral